CAGCCGCCGCGGUAAUACAGAGGGUGCGAGCGUUAAUCGGAUUUACUGGGCGUAAAGCGUGCGUAGGCGGCUUCUUAAGUCGGAUGUGAAAUCCCUGAGCUUAACUUAGGAAUUGCAUUCGAUACUGGGAAGCUAGAGUAUGGGAGAGGAUGGUAGAAUUCCAGGUGUAGCGGUGAAAUGCGUAGAGAUCUGGAGGAAUACCGAUGGCGAAGGCAGCCGUCUGGCCUAAUACUGACGCUGAGGUACGAAAGCAUGGGGAGCAAACAGGAUUAGAUACCCCAGUAGUCCCUGUCUCUUAUAC
RNAcentral lists this ribosomal RNA (301 nucleotides) under uncultured bacterium. RNAcentral's name for it is "partial 16S ribosomal RNA". It matches the Rfam family "Bacterial small subunit ribosomal RNA", at positions 509 to 807 of the family's 1533-position model. The record is from RNAcentral.